GGGAUACCUAAAAUUCCCAUGGCAAACUGCUCAAUAACACAUGAUCAACUUACCCUAUAUAGAAAAAUAACCUCGGGAAACUGAGGAUAAUGUUUCAUAGUUGAAAAGGCUUAGAAAAGUUUUUCAAUCAAAGAGAUAAGAAAAAUGGUUCUUAUCUGCUGUAGGAUGGGACCGUGGUCGAUUAUGGUUGUUGGUGAGGUAAUGGCUCACCAAGCCGAUAAUCGAUAGGGGCCGUGAGAGCGGGAGCCCCGAGAUGGGUACUGAGACAACGACCCAGGCCUUACGAGGCGCAGCAGGCGCGAAACCUCCGCAAUACACGAAAGUGUGACGGGGUUACCCAAAGUGUUCAUUUAUGAACUGUGGCAGGUGGGUAAUGUCCCCUGCUACAAAGGAGAGGGCAAGGCUGGUGCCAUCCGCCGCGGUAAAACCAGCUCUUCAAGUGGUCGGGAUAAUUAUUGGGCU
This 462-nucleotide ribosomal RNA is filed under the name uncultured archaeon. Its description in RNAcentral is "bacterial SSU rRNA". It matches the Rfam family "Archaeal small subunit ribosomal RNA", at positions 64 to 510 of the family's 1478-position model. The record is from RNAcentral.